This 253-nucleotide ribosomal RNA is filed under the name uncultured bacterium. Its description in RNAcentral is "partial 16S ribosomal RNA". It matches the Rfam family "Bacterial small subunit ribosomal RNA", at positions 524 to 776 of the family's 1533-position model. The record is from RNAcentral.
GACGAAGGAUGCAAGCGUUAUCCGGAUUUAUUGGGUUUAAAGGGAGCGUAGGUGGCCUUAUAAGUCAGCGGUGAAAGACUAGAGCUUAACUCUGGAAUUGCCAUUGAUACUGUAGGGCUUGAGUAUAGUUGCUGUGGGCGGAAUAUGACAUGUAGUGGUGAAAUACUUAGAGAUGUCAUAGAACACCGAUUGCGAAGGCAGCUCACAAAACUAUAACUGACACUGAGGCUCGAAAGCUAGGGGAGCAAACAGG